RNAcentral lists this ribosomal RNA (1441 nucleotides) under uncultured organism. RNAcentral's name for it is "16S ribosomal RNA". It matches the Rfam family "Bacterial small subunit ribosomal RNA". The record is from RNAcentral.
CAGGCUUAACACAUGCAAGUCGAGGGGCAUCAGGAAGAAAGCUUGCUUUCUUUGCUGGCGACCGGCGCACGGGUGAGUAACACGUAUCCAACCUGCCCUUUACUCGGGGAUAGCCUUUCGAAAGAAAGAUUAAUACCCGAUAGUAUAAUGAUUCCGCAUGGUUUCAUUAUUAAAGGAUUCCGGUAAAGGAUGGGGAUGCGUUCCAUUAGGUUGUUGGUGAGGUAACGGCCCACCAAGCCUUCGAUGGAUAGGGGUUCUGAGAGGAAGGUCCCCCACAUUGGAACUGAGACACGGUCCAAACUCCUACGGGAGGCAGCAGUGAGGAAUAUUGGUCAAUGGGCGCUAGCCUGAACCAGCCAAGUAGCGUGAAGGAUGAAGGCUCUAUGGGUCGUAAACUUCUUUUAUAUAAGAAUAAAAUGCAGUAUGUAUACUGUUUUGUAUGUAUUAUAUGAAUAAGGAUCGGCUAACUCCGUGCCAGCAGCCGCGGUAAUACGGAGGAUCCGAGCGUUAUCCGGAUUUAUUGGGUUUAAAGGGAGCGUAGGUGGACUGGUAAGUCAGUUGUGAAAGUUUGCGGCUCAACCGUAAAAUUGCAGUUGAUACUGUCAGUCUUGAGUACAGUAGAGGUGGGCGGAAUUCGUGGUGUAGCGGUGAAAUGCUUAGAUAUCACGAAGAACUCCGAUUGCGAAGGCAGCUCACUGGACUGCAACUGACACUGAUGCUCGAAAGUGUGGGUAUCAAACAGGAUUAGAUACCCUGGUAGUCCACACAGUAAACGAUGAAUACUCGCUGUUUGCGAUAUACAGUAAGCGGCCAAGCGAAAGCAUUAAGUAUUCCACCUGGGGAGUACGCCGGCAACGGUGAAACUCAAAGGAAUUGACGGGGGCCCGCACAAGCGGAGGAACAUGUGGUUUAAUUCGAUGAUACGCGAGGAACCUUACCCGGGCUUAAAUUGCAGUGGAAUGAUGUGGAAACAUGUCAGUGAGCAAUCACCGCUGUGAAGGUGCUGCAUGGUUGUCGUCAGCUCGUGCCGUGAGGUGUCGGCUUAAGUGCCAUAACGAGCGCAACCCUUAUCUUUAGUUACUAACAGGUUAUGCUGAGGACUCUAGAGAGACUGCCGUCGUAAGAUGUGAGGAAGGUGGGGAUGACGUCAAAUCAGCACGGCCCUUACGUCCGGGGCUACACACGUGUUACAAUGGGGGGUACAGAAGGCAGCUAGCGGGUGACCGUAUGCUAAUCCCAAAAGCCUCUCUCAGUUCGGAUCGAAGUCUGCAACCCGACUUCGUGAAGCUGGAUUCGCUAGUAAUCGCGCAUCAGCCACGGCGCGGUGAAUACGUUCCCGGGCCUUGUACACACCGCCCGUCAAGCCAUGGGAGCCGGGGGUACCUGAAGUACGUAACCGCAAGGAUCGUCCUAGGGUAAAACUGGUGACUGGGGCUAAGUC